ACGAGCGGCUGGACAGAAGGACCUCCACGGCGCUCACCAGGUCGCCCCCGCAGCCCUUCAGGAUCAGCUCCAGCACCGUCGGCUUCUGGCAGACUUUGUGGUACAUGUGUCUUGUGAACCGGUCGUGUAUUUCAUCAGGUUACCAUGUACAAUAAUUAGUCAAUAUCAUUUCCAAAGUGAAAGAAAGGAGCCACGAUACAUUGAAAUCUUUCUUUAAAAGCCACUGGAGGGACUGACAGACUGGAAGCAGAGGCAAGGCAAAACCAGCUGUGAAUUCCGGACAGCGAGGCAGGUUGCAUGAAAGAAGGAAAUGGCUGAAGAGCUUUGUCGAACUGCACAGGGUUCAUGACCCAUCAAUGAAACAGUGCGCCCAUAACUCCAGGACCACAGAGUGCAAGAGCACCGAGUAUUUGUAUCCCUGUAAUAUGCAAGACGCCGAGGGACAUAGAAAAAAGGGAGUGAAAAAUACCAGGAAGUAUAAGAUUUGUCCCUGACUGGAGGAACUUACGAUCUAGCUGAGCAGAUAAAAGGCAUGUGCAGGAAGAAAAGCAAACACAGCCAGACAGAACUUGCUUAGUAUCAAAUAUGAUACUUACUGUACACAAACAUUCACAGUAGCAUUAUCUGCCAUAGCCCAAAGGUGGAAGGAGCCCAAAUGUCCACGGAAGGACGAAUAGGUAAAUAAAAUGUGGUGCAUACGUACAAUGCAGUAUUAUUCAGUCUCAAAAUGUAAUUCUAACACAUGCUACUGUGGGGAUGAGCCUUGAAAAUAUACUAAGUGAAAUAAGCCCGUCACAAAAGGACACAUAUUCUAUGGUUCCAUUUAUACGAGGUACCUGGAAUAGACAAAUUCAGAGAUAAAAAGUAGAAUGGGAGCAGCUGGGUGACUCGGUUAAGCAUCCGCAUUUGGCUCAGGUCGUGAUCUGAGCAUCCAACUUGCGUUCAAGUCAUGAUCUGAUGGCUCCUGAGUUCAAGCCCCCU
Panthera uncia (snow leopard) is the source of this 981-nucleotide long non-coding RNA. RefSeq lists it as uncharacterized. The record is from RefSeq and is a predicted model, not a curated record. The transcript has 3 exons. Lineage: Eukaryota; Metazoa; Chordata; Mammalia; Carnivora; Felidae.